UAAUACGUAGGGGGCUAGCGUUGUCCGGAAUCAUUGGGCGUAAAGAGCGUGUAGGCGGCCCGGUAAGUCCGUUGUAAAAGUCGAAGGCUCAACCUUCGAAUGCCGAUGGAUACUGCCGGGCUAGAGUCCGGAAGAGGCGAGUGGAAUUCCUGGUGUAGCGGUGGAAUGCGCAGAUAUCAGGAGGAACACCGAUAGCGAAGGCAGCUCGCUGGGACGGUACUGACGCUAAGACGCGAAAGCGUGGGGAGCGAACAGGAUUAGAUACCCUGGUAGUCCACGCCGUAAACGAUGGGCACUAGGUGUGGGAGGUGUCGACUCCUCCCGUGCCGACGCUAACGCAAUAAGUGCCCCGCCUGGGGAGUACGGCCGCAAGGCUA
Molecule: ribosomal RNA, 377 nt
Filed under: uncultured bacterium
Lineage: Bacteria
Description: bacterial SSU rRNA
Rfam family: Bacterial small subunit ribosomal RNA
Source: RNAcentral